This 108-nucleotide small nuclear RNA is filed under the name Phocoena sinus (vaquita). Lineage: Eukaryota; Metazoa; Chordata; Mammalia; Artiodactyla; Phocoenidae. The record is from RNAcentral.
GUGCUCACUUUGGCAGCACAUAUACUAUAAUUGAAACAAUACAGAGAAGAUUAGCAUGGCCCUUUGCCCAAGGAUGACAUGCAAAUUCGUAAAGCAAAAACCACAAUG